CCCCGUGUGCGUGUACCGUCCCCUGGGGGCAGGGAGGGGGGUGCUGGGCGAGCAGUGGUGGGAACAGAGAACCCUGAGUCCAGGUUCUGGGUGGCAGUUUAGAACAAGCCAGCCAUGUUCUCGUCCUCCAGCGUUAAUAUCGAGUGCUGACCAUGAGGGAGGCACAGUGCCUGGGAAACACCAGGGACCCAAGACUCCUGCCCUACGUGGUUGGCCUUCUAGUGGGAGGAAAAACAGCAAACUCUACACCUAACAUACGGUUCCUGGUGCACAGCUCUUAAAACCCUCAGAAACGACUGUUUCUCACACACAGAAGAGAUGACGCACAUCGGGGACAGGGCGCUGGUAGCUUCAAAAUGGGGGCCAGUCUCUAGAAAGACCACCCACCAUGUACGUUGGAGGUCGGAUCUCGCCGCUGCUCUGUAUCACCCAACCCUACCUCUGUGGGGGGAGCAGGGCUGCAGACCAAGUGCGAUCGCCAGUAGCCAAUGACUGGACGGCUAGAGCAAACCAUGUCUGCUUAACGUUCAACCCUGGCCACUCAGAAGGCGGUUCCGGGACCAGCAGCAGCAUCCGGAUGGCCGGUCAGGACCGCGGAACCUAAGGCACCAGUCCAGACCUGGUGAAUCAGAGCGCGCAUUUCAUAACCCCCAGCUGGGCCAUAGGACAAAAAGUGUGAGGCGUCCUGCAAGCAGCACGCGGCUCUCAGAUGGACAUGAUGAUGGCCGUCACUGCACCUGGGAACCCAAGGUAUAGACUUCGGUCACCCCUCUUGGGUGGCCGGAAAUAUAGCUCAGCUUGCUUUUCCCGUGCAUUUUUGUUUCGAU
Panthera uncia (snow leopard) is the source of this 827-nucleotide long non-coding RNA. RefSeq lists it as uncharacterized. The record is from RefSeq and is a predicted model, not a curated record. The transcript is spliced from 3 exons. Lineage: Eukaryota; Metazoa; Chordata; Mammalia; Carnivora; Felidae.